Cheilinus undulatus (humphead wrasse) is the source of this 226-nucleotide long non-coding RNA. RefSeq lists it as uncharacterized. The transcript has 2 exons. Lineage: Eukaryota; Metazoa; Chordata; Actinopteri; Labriformes; Labridae. The record is from RefSeq and is a predicted model, not a curated record.
CCUGGGAUGACUCAGACACUUCGAAGUAAAUUGGAGAAAUCCAGCGUCAUUCAGAAGCCCACUCGGUCCACGAGGUGAGAGUUUGUAGCAACGUCUGUCAGUGACUCUGAAGAUGCUAUUUCAUGGAGUGUCAACACUUAAUCUGACUCCAGUUAAACCGUGACACUGGUUGCAUACAACUGGCAAAAUAAAUAGUGUAAAGGUGGCAUGAGUUAAAACUACUGGC